Molecule: long non-coding RNA, 550 nt
Filed under: Linum usitatissimum (flax)
Lineage: Eukaryota; Viridiplantae; Streptophyta; Magnoliopsida; Malpighiales; Linaceae
Description: long non-coding RNA (LUSI_LNC004307)
Source: RNAcentral
GAAGAAUAGCUUGGUGAUUUUUGGGUUGAACCUGGUUGAUAUGCUUCUCAAGAACCCUACUUCAGGAGAUGAGAUGUAGUUAACAACCAAUCUCCUUGAUGCAGCAAGAACAUAGUUUCUCAUACUUAAAUUGUGCUGGGCAUAGAACGCGUCAUGCUUCAAAAGAAUCAAGAACAACAAAGCUGUAUAAUGUCAGCAACAGUUGAAGUCUGUACAAAAUAUCAAAUAAGAAAGGGGGGGGGCUCAAAAACGACAAACCACUUACGAUGCAGCAAGAACAUAGUUUCUCAUACUUAAAUUGCGCUGGGCAUAAAACGCAUCAUGCUUCAAAAGAAUCAAGAACAACAAAGCUGUAUAAUGUCAGCAACAGUUGAAGUCUGUACAAAAUAUCAAAUAAGAAAGGGGGGGAGCUCAAACAAGACAAGUCACUUACAGACCUGAACAUUCAACCAAAGGCCAGCUGGCUUUAGCCCGGCAACAUCAUCAACAGUAAGGAUAGGGAACAAAUUGGUGUCAAAACUUGGACUGCGAGAAAAGACUCCCUGCGUCA